UCACUCUGGAUCCAGGAUCUGCUCAUUCAGACCUUGUUGUCUCUCGUGAAAAGACAAGUGUGACCUUGAAGGUCUCUUCUAACUCUGUAGAUACCUGCAGUGUACUGGGUUUUGAGGGCAUCACAUCAGGGCGCUGUUACUGGGAGGUGGAAAUCAGGGAUGAAGGCCAAAGCGAGUGGGCCCUGGGGGUCUGUAGGGAAGNGAGACCCCAGAAAAGGGGUUCUGGGUUGUGGGGAGGUUUGAAAAAGGAUAUUGUGCCUGUACUGCAAAGCAGACUCUGCUAUCCUUCAUGCAGGCUCCCCACCCCAGGCUUAGGAUGGGAGUGUUUCUGGAUUACCAGGAAGGGGAUGUCUCCUUCUACAACAUGACUGAUGGCUCCCACAUUUUCUCCUUCCCUCAGGCUUCCUUCUCUGGGACCCUCUUUCCAUACUUCAUGAUUAAUUCAGGAGACGUGUCCCUGACCGUCUGCUCCAAGGUGGGAGGGUCUGAGGGGCUCCCUGCUGCCCUUAGCAAUCCUUCUCUGGAGGAGCCUGUGAACCUCCCAGGGGCAGGGUUCAGCUCAGGCUCUGGUGCUGAAGGUCUCUCCGGGGCCGAGUGUCCCCUGCUCCCCUGCAACCCCGAGGCUGUGUCCCCCUAGGGCCUGUCACUGUGCUGGACCCUCACUGUGGCUCUUCCUGGAGCUUCAGACCCCUUGUGACAGAGGCCUCUGAGGUGCAGCCGGGUUGGUUGGGAGUCUCGCACUCCUGCUCUGGAGACAAGCUCUUGGGCUUGUGGUUAUGAGAAUUUUCAGUUCAUGCCAUGUGCUCAGGUAAUAGAUUACAAAAGUUGACUCUCUGAGCUGGUUUGGGGGUGGCCUGAAGUUUACUAUGGGACGUUGUUUUUCUUUUAGUAACGGAAAAUAUUUCAUGAAGUUUUUAUACUGUUUGGAUAUGCUAAAUGAUGAGAGGUUGAAUUACUCUGCAGACUAAUGUCGUGUUUUUGUUGUUGUUUAGUCUCUAAGUUGUGUCUAACUCUUUUGUGACCCUAUGGACUGAAGCCCACCAGGCUCCUCUGUUCACCAGACUUCCCAGGCAAAAAAUACUGGAAUGGAUUGCAGUUUCCUUCGUCAAGAGAUCUCCCCGACCCAAGGAUUGAACUCAGAUUUUCUCCAUUGGCUGGUGGAUUCUUUAAGGCUGAGCCACCAGGGAAGCCUGGUGGUGUUACUUUAUCCAAUUUGAGUUUUUUAAAUAGAACCCAGAGAGUGACGGUUGGUCCCCAGUUCUAUUUUGGAGGAUGGACACUAUCAAAUCAGAAAAGUUGGCCAGCCAAAAAUUUCCAGGGAAAUGGGUGGCUGAUGGAGUUUUAAGGAGUCUAACAUUUUACUUUUUGUAUUUCCUAUUCUGGGAUGGAUAAAACACACCCAUUUUCCCCAGAUCUCAGUAAAUUUUUGUUACCUGUAAAAAACCUGUGUUGUGUUCAUUUAAGGAGUUAAGGAGAAGGAUCUAGGUUUUUCAUUUCUGUUAACAGCAGCUGGAAAUAAGAGAACUGCGUUUGAAUUAAGAUGUAAAUGAAGAAGAGAAUUUUCAGAGGCAGGGUGAAUUGCAAAAAGCUUUGACCAAGAGCUGGAGCCAUGGUCAUUGUAUGCCCCUUAUCAUUGUAUUGCCCCUCUGAGCUUCCAAGUCCAAUGGUAAUGGUUAAUGGAAAAACAGCCAGCUUCAGGCAACUCAGUGCCUGUGGGACCCCGGGGCCUGGGCAGGGUUGGUGGGGCGGGUUCUGCAAGCACGGCACCAGAUGAAGUGAGCUGUGAGGCUCGAGGGAACAACGAGUGCUGGUCAAGUUUAAAAAUGACUUACGUGGAUCAUCAGAAUCUCAUUUGUGGUUUUCCAGACAUUAAAGAAAAUGAAUAGAGUGGGAAAUUUCUUUGGAGGUACUUCAUACUGGAUACUAGAGGAGAUAGUUUUGUAUGAUACAUGGAUAAUCCACAGAACCUACCUUCUGGAUUGAGAAUUGUGGAGCCAUUAAAAAAAAAAUGGAUUCAACAGGGAAGUUCUCUAAUUUACCUACAUUUCAAAGUUAUGAAUGCAGGGAUGAGGGACUAUUUUCUAUAAGCCAAUGAUCAGCAGGGCCUAGUAGAAUGGAUAAAUGUGUUGAACAAAGCUGUAAAAGUUACAAUAUCAAAGCAGUCAGUAUCACAGCCUCAUUCUGAUAACAGGUCACCAAGGUAAAUAUGGGAAGAAGCAAAUGUCUUACAGAACUGACACUGUUGGUAGAGUGGCCAUCAUUACUGCAACUCAAAAAGAAGCAAGUGAAUGUGGUGAAACUAUUGACAGAAAUAAUUUGAAGCGGUCACAAAUCUGUCUUCCUUACUUUACUCCUAAACCACCUUCAGAUACUGCAGUUAUGAAAGCUGGAUAUUGUGUAAAACAAGGAACAGUGAUGAAAAAUGGAAGAGAAGACAUUUUCAACUGGAUAGAAACACAACAGGUUACUUUAGAUCUGAACUGGAAAAGGGACCUCUCCAUGUAAUACCACUUAAAGAGGUUCAUAAAGCCCAGGAACAUAAACCAAGUGACAUAAUGACAAGAGACUACCUCUUUGAAAUUGUAACAUCCUCUGGAACUCUCUAUGUGCAGGCUGAUAGCCCUGAAGAAAUGCACAGUGGGAUUAAAGCAGCCUCAGGUGCCAUUGUAGUACAGCGGGGACCUGGCAGAUCAGCGUCCCCUAGAGAACAUUCCAACAGUCUUUCCAAAUCUAAACACGCUCUCUGCUCUGCCAGUGUGCAGCAGCCACCCCACAUUCCACAGCCUCUUGCAGCAACUCUACUCUGAUCUCAAGUUUUACCAUGGAGAAGCUAGGAUUUUAUGAAUCUCUUGCCAAGUUCAAGCCAUGGAACUUCAAGGUCUACACUAUCUCUCCAAGAGAAUCAGCUUCCAAGGUAACUGAACAAGCUCUGCUAAAACCUUAAAGAAAAAUGAUCCUCAGAAACAAAAUUAUGACCCUGUGGACUUGGAUAAUGCAAGCCUUCCAGUCGGUGAUGUGUGAGGUAGAAACACAUGUAGCCUGAUAUGCUUUUAUCAGCUCUC
Non-coding RNA from Odocoileus virginianus texanus, 3062 nucleotides. Lineage: Eukaryota; Metazoa; Chordata; Mammalia; Artiodactyla; Cervidae. The record is from RefSeq and is a predicted model, not a curated record.